UACGUAGGGUGCGAGCGUUAAUCGGAAUUACUGGGCGUAAAGCGUGCGCAGGCGGUUUUGUAAGCCAGAUGUGAAAUCCCCGGGCUUAACCUGGGAAUGGCAUUUGGGACUGCAAGGCUGGAGUGCGGCAGAGGAGACUGGAAUUCCCGGUGUAGUGGUGAAAUGCGUAGAGAUCGGGAGGAACACCAGUGGCGAAGGCGGCCGGCUGGGGGUGACCUGACGCUGAGGCGCGAAAGCGUGGGGAGCGAACCGG
Molecule: ribosomal RNA, 253 nt
Filed under: uncultured bacterium
Lineage: Bacteria
Description: partial 16S ribosomal RNA
Rfam family: Bacterial small subunit ribosomal RNA
Source: RNAcentral